Molecule: transfer RNA, 63 nt
Filed under: Tettigades distanti
Lineage: Eukaryota; Metazoa; Arthropoda; Insecta; Hemiptera; Cicadidae
Description: tRNA-Phe
Source: RNAcentral
AUUUAAAUAGCUUAAAUUAGAGCAUAAUAUUGAAGAUAUUAAGGUAAUAUUAAUUUUUAAAUA